This is a long non-coding RNA of Canis lupus familiaris (dog), 377 nucleotides long. RefSeq lists it as uncharacterized. The transcript has 3 exons. The record is from RefSeq and is a predicted model, not a curated record. Lineage: Eukaryota; Metazoa; Chordata; Mammalia; Carnivora; Canidae.
GAAGGGAGAGAGUCUCAAGUGUUCCAGAGAAUCUUGAAGUUAUAAUAGCCAAAAUCUUCCCAAAUGAGUUGGGGGAAAUUUAAAAAAUGAAGAUUCAAGAAUUUUUAAUAAAACUCAAGCAGGACGAAAACAGAACGUCCCAGAGACCACACUGUCUUGAUCUUUAUGGUCGGAAUGGAAAUCGGGUUGUUUUGAGUUUUCUGUUGAUCUCCUUUAAACUUCACGGAUUCUUUUCUGUGCUGAGCUGAGUCUACUGAUAUUCUUCAGGUAUGUUUCUAUUCAAGUAUGUCCAGUUACUUUACACUUUCUGUGUUAUAGUUCUCAUAUUUAGGAAGUCUUAUUUUGUUGAUGAUUUUAUCUCUUGAAAGUGAAUUAAA